This 71-nucleotide transfer RNA is filed under the name Eubacterium coprostanoligenes. It matches the Rfam family "tRNA". From Rfam's summary of the family: Transfer RNA (tRNA) molecules are approximately 80 nucleotides in length. RNAcentral also lists the same sequence under 6 other names. Lineage: Bacteria; Bacillati; Bacillota; Clostridia; Eubacteriales; Eubacteriaceae. The record is from RNAcentral.
GAAGCAUAGCUCAGCUGGGAGAGCAUCUGCCUUACAAGCAGAGGGUCACAGGUUCGAGCCCUGUUGUUUCC